UACGUAGGUGGCAAGCGUUGUCCGGAUUUACUGGGCGUAAAGAGCGCGCAGGCGGUUGUGCAAGUCGCGUGUGAAAGCCCCCGGCUCAACUGGGGAGGGUCACGCGAUACUGUUCGACUUGAAGGCAGGAGAGGGAAGUGGAAUUCCCGGUGUAGUGGUGAAAUGCGUAGAUAUCGGGAGGAACACCAGUGGCGAAGGCGACUACCUGGCCUGUUCUUGACGCUGAGGCGCGAAAGCUAGGGGAGCAAACGGG
This 253-nucleotide ribosomal RNA is filed under the name uncultured bacterium. RNAcentral describes it as "partial 16S ribosomal RNA". It matches the Rfam family "Bacterial small subunit ribosomal RNA", at positions 524 to 776 of the family's 1533-position model. The record is from RNAcentral.